UGUGUCAGCAAUAUUGGCAAGUCAGAAGUCAAUUUUAGUCGUAUGGUUAUAAAAACCAUUUAUACCAUUGUAGCGUCCACCCCUGUAAACAAUUUGCAUGACGCUGGACAAGUGAAGGAGAUCCUCAUUUCAAACAAGAGCCUUAGUUGGCACAUUUCCCCACCUCAGUUACCUUUUCUUCUAAAGGGAGGCACAGUAACAGGGGAACAACAAUUAAGGAGUUAUGCAAACCAAAUUAUGAUCUCCCCUAGUUGAGUGGUCGGGCGGUCUGUUCAAGGCUUGACGCUUCUGCUGAGGCGCCGGGGCCGGACGCUAUUGCUGAGGCGCCGGACGCUAUUGCUGAGGCGCCGGGGCCGGACGCUUCUGCUGAGGCGCCGGGGCCGGACGCUUCUGCUGAGGCGCCGGACGCUUCUGCUGAGGCGCCGGGGCCGGACGCUUCUGCUGAGGCGCUGGGGCCGGACUUCACACUUGACGGGGCAUUGUGGCCAGUAGAUUCUGCUGGCGUGGCAUUGUGGCCAGUAGCUUCUGCUGACGUGGCAUUGUGGCCAGUAGCUUCUGCUGACGUGGCAUUGUGGCCAGUAGCUUUAGCAUUUGGACUAGGCACCACACUUGCUUUGGCAUAGGAUCCAGUUGGUUCAGGUCCAGUGUAGGCAUGAUGCCCAUUAGAAUUACCU
This 674-nucleotide long non-coding RNA is filed under the name Salmo salar (Atlantic salmon). RNAcentral describes it as "lncRNA (ENSSSAG00000085843.1)". Lineage: Eukaryota; Metazoa; Chordata; Actinopteri; Salmoniformes; Salmonidae. The record is from RNAcentral.